UGAAUAUAAGAAACCGUUUUUUAACUUUUAACUAAAAAAACUAAGAACAGCUCUUAAAUAUUUUAUAUAAGAAUUGGUUUUUAGUUUUCUUAGUUAAAAAUUAAGAGACAGUUUUUUAUAUUCC
Brassica napus (rape) is the source of this 124-nucleotide non-coding RNA. The record is from Rfam. Lineage: Eukaryota; Viridiplantae; Streptophyta; Magnoliopsida; Brassicales; Brassicaceae.